AACGCUAGCUACAGGCUUAACACAUGCAAGUCGAGGGGCAGCAUGGUCUUAGCUUGCUAAGACUGAUGGCGACCGGCGCACGGGUGAGUAACACGUAUCCAACCUGCCGUCUACUCUCGGACAGCCUUCUGAAAGGAAGAUUAAUACAAGAUGGCAUCAUGAGUCCGCAUGUUCACAUGAUUAAAGGUAUUCCGGUAGACGAUGGGGAUGCGUUCCAUUAGAUAGUAGGCGGGGUAACGGCCCACCUAGUCUUCGAUGGAUAGGGGUUCUGAGAGGAAGGUCCCCCACAUUGGAACUGAGACACGGUCCAAACUCCUACGGGAGGCAGCAGUGAGGAAUAUUGGUCAAUGGGCGAGAGCCUGAACCAGCCAAGUAGCGUGAAGGAUGACUGCCCUAUGGGUUGUAAACUUCUUUUAUAAAGGAAUAAAGUCGGGUAUGCAUACCCGUUUGCAUGUACUUUAUGAAUAAGGAUCGGCUAACUCCGUGCCAGCAGCCGCGGUAAUACGGAGGAUCCGAGCGUUAUCCGGAUUUAUUGGGUUUAAAGGGAGCGUAGAUGGAUGUUUAAGUCAGUUGUGAAAGUUUGCGGCUCAACCGUAAAAUUGCAGUUGAUACUGGAUAUCUUGAGUGCAGUUGAGGCAGGCGGAAUUCGUGGUGUAGCGGUGAAAUGCUUAGAUAUCACGAAGAACUCCGAUUGCGAAGGCAGCCUGCUAAGCUGCAACUGACAUUGAGGCUCGAAAGUGUGGGUAUCAAACAGGAUUAGAUACCCUGGUAGUCCACACGGUAAACGAUGAAUACUCGCUGUUUGCGAUAUACUGCAAGCGGCCAAGCGAAAGCGUUAAGUAUUCCACCUGGGGAGUACGCCGGCAACGGUGAAACUCAAAGGAAUUGACGGGGGCCCGCACAAGCGGAGGAACAUGUGGUUUAAUUCGAUGAUACGCGAGGAACCUUACCCGGGCUUAAAUUGCAGAUGAAUUACGGUGAAAGCCGUAAGCCGCAAGGCAUCUGUGAAGGUGCUGCAUGGUUGUCGUCAGCUCGUGCCGUGAGGUGUCGGCUUAAGUGCCAUAACGAGCGCAACCCUUGUUGUCAGUUACUAACAGGUUCCGCUGAGGACUCUGGCAAGACUGCCAUCGUAAGAUGUGAGGAAGGUGGGGAUGACGUCAAAUCAGCACGGCCCUUACGUCCGGGGCUACACACGUGUUACAAUGGGGGGUACAGAGGGCCGCUACCACGCGAGUGGAUGCCAAUCCCCAAAACCUCUCUCAGUUCGGACUGGAGUCUGCAACCCGACUCCACGAAGCUGGAUUCGCUAGUAAUCGCGCAUCAGCCACGGCGCGGUGAAUACGUUCCCGGGCCUUGUACACACCGCCCGUCAAGCCAUGGGAGCCGGGGGUACCUGAAGUGCGUAACCGCGAGGAGCGCCCUAGGGUAAAACUGGUGACUGG
RNAcentral lists this ribosomal RNA (1442 nucleotides) under uncultured organism. RNAcentral's name for it is "SSU rRNA". It matches the Rfam family "Bacterial small subunit ribosomal RNA". The record is from RNAcentral.